This 1399-nucleotide long non-coding RNA is filed under the name Equus caballus (horse). RNAcentral describes it as "lncRNA (ENSECAG00000057038.1)". Lineage: Eukaryota; Metazoa; Chordata; Mammalia; Perissodactyla; Equidae. The record is from RNAcentral.
AAGACUAGAGUGGUGAUCGCCUCAGAGGUCUGGGAGGGUUAACCGAGUUCAUAUCUUUAAAGAAGGGAGGACAAUGCUGGUCCAAGCAGAAGCUGAGUAAAUGUUAGCCACUGUUACAGGUCAGAGGAGAGCUGGGGGGCCAGGCCGUGGCCUCCUCAGGCCCUAGGCCCUGAAUUGGAGCUGUGUCCAAACCCAAGUGUGAUGAGAGGUGACCAGUUGUCCGGGCUCCCCGUGCUGGGGCGGGAGGAGGUAACCAUGGCAACACCUGUCGGUUAUCAGCCGUUGUUUCUUUGGAGCUCCCAAUUCAUCAGGUAGGUGUUUUUCCUUUUACGGAAAUGAGGUAACUGAGGCUCAGGAGUUAGGGAACUCUGCUGAGAUUAGAACCCAGGACUCCAGAAAGUUCUUAACAUUUUACUUUGCUAGGAGAAACCUACAAGUGGAUCAGAGGAGAGUUGGAAGAAUGAAAGUUAAGGCCUGAGGGAAAAUUGCAUGUUUAGAGGAUCUUAGAGACAAGGAAGAGAGGAGCGUUUGUGGAUGCCCCAUCUUAGGUCUGCAUUGUUCUGAGGAUUUCGUGAAUCAGAAUCUCUGAGAUGGGUGGAGAUGAAACGGGCUUGCCUGGUGUGAAAGAUCCAGGACAUUCAGGUGUGUUCCCCUGGUUACCAGCCUUUGAAUUAGGCCCACACUAGCCAGCCUCACAGGGUCAUGAGAGUCACGUGAGUUGCUUAUGAAACUAUAAAUUCCCUGGCCCCACCAACCUCCAGAGCUGCUGACUCAGCAGGUCCAGUGGAGGGCAUAGAAACGGGUGUGGAUAACAGCUGCUCCAAGUAAUUCAUAUAAAUGUACCCAAAUUAGUUAAUACUUAUCUAUUCAAAAAAUAUUCGUCGAACUCCUUCUAUCAUGCUGAAUGCUGGGAAAACAGAGGAAUCCGAUCCCUCUGGCCUACAGGAGCCCAUGGAGAAUGCAAAUAAUGGCAGGUGCAGUCGAGGGCUGGGGCUUAUUGCUUACAGAGUGCUUUCACAAGCACUGUUCAUUGGAUGCUCACAACAGUCUUGAGAGUUGUGGGUCCUUCUGGCUGUGGCAUGUGGGACGCUGCCUCAGCGCGGCCACUGAGCGGCACCAUGUUCUCGCUGAGGACUCGAACCGGCGAAACCCCGGGCCGCCUGCAGCGGAGCCCAGGAACUUAACCACUCGGCCACAGGGCCGGCGCCAGAGUUAAAUUUUUUAUAAUAUUACUACUAUUGUCUUUUAAUAAAAGUAUAAUUUGCUUAUUUCAACAUUUCAGGCUGUCUUUCUUAGUUGUCUCCUCUUUACUAGGAAUAAUUAAUGUGUUCUGCUUUUAGUACAGCCUUUAGUCCAGGCUAGGAAGCAUAGUGGACAGGCGAUGCUGACCAGGGACCGG